Molecule: RNA transcript, 1831 nt
Organism: Zingiber officinale
Lineage: Eukaryota; Viridiplantae; Streptophyta; Magnoliopsida; Zingiberales; Zingiberaceae
Gene name: F-box/FBD/LRR-repeat protein At1g13570-like
Exons: 4
Source: RefSeq, a predicted model, not a curated record
CUUAUUUUGUAUUGUUCUUCACCGCGCCGCAAUAAGUAAAUUCCUUUCUCUUCCCUUUCCCUCACUUUCCACACCCUCUCUCUCCUGCCUUCCUCUUCCCCACCGCCUCCCGCCUGCCGACGUCCGCGGACUGUCGACCGACGUUGAGCCAUACGAUCGAUUGGGGUUAUGCUGUAACAUAGGUGAAUUGGAGUAUUUGGUCCACCUUAUCAGUCUCCUAAUUGAUUCUGCAGCUUAUAAUUGCACCUUGUUCUUGAAUUGAAUCAGUGAAGUAAAAAAAAUUAGCCAUGUCUAGCAUAGUCAUUGGCAACAAUACUCUAGACAGAAUCAGUCAUUUGCCACCAAAUAUUAUCGAACAAAUACUCAUGCGCUUACCAUUGAGAGAUGCAAUCCGGACAAGCAUCUUAUCACAUGAUUGGAGAUAUGCAUGGAGUAGUAUUCCACACCUUGCUUUCAGUUGGCAAGAAUUCCCCCUAUCUAUAUGCAACUAUUCACAAGUUAAUUUUGACCGUAAGCUUGUAGACAUUAUUCAUCAAGUCCUACUACUCCACCAAGGACCAAUUCACAGAUUUGAACUUUCCAUUCAGUUAAGAAACUCCAAAGAUAUAGAUGGGUGGCUUCUCUUUCUUUCAAGAAAUGAUAUUAGAGAAAUAAUUCUACAUAGAUGGGAAGGAGAGGUGUAUAAGUUGCCUUCUUGUCUUCUCUCAUGUAAAGGGCUCAGGUCUCUAUCUCUGCAUAGAUGCAUGUUCAGACCUGUUCAUUUCCAAGGCUUUCCACGUCUUGCAUCUCUGUUUCUUAGAAGUGUUGCCAUUUCUCAGGAUGGGCUUGAGGCUUUAAUCACCGCUUGCCCUCUACUAAAUAAACUAUGCCUGAUAGACAUGUUUGAUUUUGGUGGUCUUAAGGUUUGUUCCCCAAGUCUGGUUAACUUGACAUUUGUUGGAGAACACAUAGAUCUUGCUUUUGAAAAUGUUCCAUUGUUAGCUACAUUGUCUGUCUCCUUAACUGUGAAGAGUGACAAGUAUUAUGCUGCCCCUGGAGUAAUUUGCAAAUUAUUUAGAAUCCUAUACCAUCUUCCCAGUAUUAAGAAGAUUGUACUGGGUGGUCAAGCAUUCAAGUCUAGGUCUGGACAUAUGGUGAGUUACCCAUCCAGCUUCCUUGCACAUAUCAGCUGAAGCAUUUUCAUGCAACUGUAAAUUUUAAGGACAUGCAAGAAAUGUUUGCCAUAGUCUCCCUGUGCAGAAGCUGCCCGUUGUUAGUGACUCUUGAGUUAGAGGCACGUUUUGUCAUGCAAGCAAAUCAUGAAACACCUGUUGAGAAAUUUUGGAAUUCACAGCAAAGUUUCGAUUGCCUAUUUAGCCAGCUCAAAAAUUUGGAAAUUACUGGCGUGAGCAGCAUACUUGAACUCCCAUUUUUGAAGUUUGUUCUUGCCAAUGCACCAGUUCUUGAGACUGCAUACAUUGGAUUCGACUACAGACUGAAGACAGAGCUCGAUAUCACAAGGGAGAUGAUCAAAUUCAGGAGAUUAUCACCUGCAGCUGAAAUAAAAAUUUUAAAGAGAAAAUUUCGGAAUGCGUCAUCUAUGUGGGCUUGAGAUCCCUUGGAAUGCUUAUAUUUCAAAUGAAGACUUUUGAAGCCUAGUAAUUCUCAUCUUUGAAUUUUGCCAUAGCAUGACGUCUCCUGUAAGUACCGGCCAGCGUGGGUAUUGUCGUAAACAACAGCAAGCAUACUCAUGUUUUUUUAGUAGAAAGACAGGGACAACUUCUUUUGGAGUUUUUUUUAAACUUGGUUUCUUGUGCAAGGUAAAUAUGGUUCCUAACAGUGUUUUCUUUUA